This 398-nucleotide ribosomal RNA is filed under the name uncultured bacterium. RNAcentral's name for it is "partial 16S ribosomal RNA". It matches the Rfam family "Bacterial small subunit ribosomal RNA", at positions 523 to 918 of the family's 1533-position model. The record is from RNAcentral.
AUACGUAGGGUGCGAGCGUUGUCCGGAAUUACUGGGCGUAAAGAGCUCGUAGGUGGUUUGUCGCGUCGUCUGUGAAAUUCCGGGGCUUAACUCCGGGCGUGCAGGCGAUACGGGCAUAACUUGAGUACUGUAGGGGAGACUGGAAUUCCUGGCGUAGCGGUGAAAUGCGCAGAUAUCAGGAGGAACACCGGUGGCGAAGGCGGGUCUCUGGGCAGUAACUGACGCUGAGGAGCGAAAGCAUGGGUAGCGAACAUGAUUAGAUACCCUGGUAGUCCAUGCCGUAAACGGUGGGCGCUAGGUGUAGGGGUCUUCCACGACUUCUGUGCCGUAGCUAACGCAUUAAGCGCCCCGCCUGGGGAGUACGGCCGCAAGGCUAAAACUCAAAUGAAUUGACGGGG